UGGGGAAUAUUGGACAAUGGGCGAAAGCCUGAUCCAGCGACGCCGCGUGAGUGAUGAAGGCCUUCGGGUUGUAAAGCUCUGUUGAGGGAGAAGAAAACUGUCACGGCGAACAGGCGUGGCACUUGACGGUAUCCCUUUAGAAAGCACCGGCUAACUCUGUGCCAGCAGCCGCGGUAAGACAGAGGGUGCAAACGUUGCUCGGAAUUACUGGGCGUAAAGCGCGUGUAGGCGGGCCACCAAGUCGGACGUGAAAGCCCUGAGCUCAACUCAGGAACUGCAUCCGAAACUGGCGGCCUGGAGUAGUGGAGAGGAAAGCAGAAUUCCUGGUGUAGAGGUGAAAUUCGUAGAUAUCAGGAGGAACACCGGUGGCGAAGGCGGCUUUCUGGACACUUACUGACGC
Molecule: ribosomal RNA, 400 nt
Filed under: uncultured bacterium
Lineage: Bacteria
Description: bacterial SSU rRNA
Rfam family: Bacterial small subunit ribosomal RNA
Source: RNAcentral